This 253-nucleotide ribosomal RNA is filed under the name uncultured bacterium. RNAcentral describes it as "partial 16S ribosomal RNA". It matches the Rfam family "Bacterial small subunit ribosomal RNA", at positions 524 to 776 of the family's 1533-position model. The record is from RNAcentral.
UACGGGGGGGGCAAGAGUUGUUCGGAAUUACUGGGCGUAAAGGGCUCGUAGGCGGCCAACUAAGUCGGACGUGAAAUCCCCAGGCUCAACCUGGGAACUGCGUCCGAUACUGGAUGGCUUGAAUCCGGGAGAGGGAUGCAGAAUUCCAGGUGUAGCGGUGAAAUGCGUAGAUAUCAGGAGGAACACCGGUGGCGAAGGCGGGUCUCUGGGCAGUAACUGACGCUGAGGAGCGAAAGCGUGGGUAGCGAACAGG